UAUCCUACGGGACGCAGCAGUAAGGGAUAUUGGUCAAUGGGGGAAGCCCUGAACCAGCAACGCCGCGUGAGGGAAGACGGUUUUCGGAUUGUAAACCUCUGUCCUCUGUGAAGAUGACGACGGUAGCAGAGGAGGAAGCUCCGGCUAACUACGUGCCAGCAGCCGCGGUAAUACGGAGGAUGCGAGCGUUAUCCGGAUUUAUUGGGUUUAAAGGGUGCGUAGGCGGAAUGCCAAGUCAGCGGUAAAAUCGCGGGGCUCAACCUCGCUCCGCCGUUGAAACUGGCGUUCUUGAGUGGGCGAGAAGG
Molecule: ribosomal RNA, 305 nt
Filed under: uncultured bacterium
Lineage: Bacteria
Description: bacterial SSU rRNA
Rfam family: Bacterial small subunit ribosomal RNA
Source: RNAcentral